GACGAAGGAUGCAAGCGUUAUCCGGAUUCAUUGGGUUUAAAGGGUGCGUAGGCGGACUUGUAAGUCAGUGGUGAAAUCUCUCAGCUUAACUGAGAAACUGCCAUUGAUACUGCAGGUCUAGAGUAUAGAUGACGUUGGCGGAAUACGACAUGUAGAGGUGAAAUUCUUAGAUAUGUCGUGGAACACCGAUUGCGAAGGCAGCUAACGAAACUAUAACUGACGCUGAGGCACGAAAGUGCGGGGAUCAAACAGGAUUAGAUACCCUGGUAGUCCGCACCGUAAACGAUGAUUACUCGUUGUUGGCGAUAUGACAGUCAGCGACCAAGCGAAAGCGAUAAGUAAUCCACCUGGGGAGUACGCCGGCAACGGUGAA
This 373-nucleotide ribosomal RNA is filed under the name uncultured bacterium. Its description in RNAcentral is "bacterial SSU rRNA". It matches the Rfam family "Bacterial small subunit ribosomal RNA", at positions 524 to 898 of the family's 1533-position model. The record is from RNAcentral.